GUUGUCAUGCCAAUGGCACUGCCCGGUAGCUAAAUGCGGAAGAGAUAAGUGCUGAAAGCAUCUAAGCACGAAACUUGCCCCGAGAUGAGUUCUCCCUGAGACUAUAAGUCUCCUGAAGGAACGUUGAAGACGACGACGUUGAUAGGCCGGGUGUGUAAGCGCAGCGAUGCGUUGAGCUAACCGGUACUAAUGAACCGUGAGGCUUAACCUUACAACGCCGAAG
Molecule: ribosomal RNA, 223 nt
Filed under: Klebsiella pneumoniae
Lineage: Bacteria; Pseudomonadati; Pseudomonadota; Gammaproteobacteria; Enterobacterales; Enterobacteriaceae
Description: partial 23S ribosomal RNA
Rfam family: Bacterial large subunit ribosomal RNA
Source: RNAcentral